Molecule: long non-coding RNA, 326 nt
Organism: Tyto alba (common barn owl)
Lineage: Eukaryota; Metazoa; Chordata; Aves; Strigiformes; Tytonidae
Exons: 4
Source: RefSeq, a predicted model, not a curated record
UCCGCAAGCUCCGAUGCUGAGGCAGCCGAGAAGGCGAGCGGGGGAGUGUUGUCCCUUCUCAUCGACGUGCUGGACAAACUGCUCAUGGUUCUGAGUUCCAACAUCAUCGGGUGAUCAGCGAGCAGCCAGCACCGGCUGGCCCCGGGUGCCAGCGCGUUCCCGGGGGGGGGCAGGAUGCGUCCCCCUCCUCCCUCCGAGCAUCCCUGGCUCUGCACAAGCGUCGCUCAGCUCCCUGCCGCCGGCUCCGCUCCACUCCCGCCUCGUCCCGUGGCUUUUCCCGCGCCGCGUGCGUGCGUCGCUCCAGCCCGAAGCUCCCCAUAAAGCAA